Molecule: long non-coding RNA, 543 nt
Filed under: Homo sapiens (human)
Lineage: Eukaryota; Metazoa; Chordata; Mammalia; Primates; Hominidae
Description: HSALNT0225493
Source: RNAcentral
CAGACUGCUGUGCUAGCAAUUAGCAAGACUCCGUGGGCGUAGGACCCUCCGAGCCAGGUUCAUCAAAAUAAGAUAUGAUCAAGGUACAAAAGAGUUAAAGAAGCUAUUUAUUUUAAUGUUUCCUUGGAGAGCACACUUGUUAUUAUGCCUGCCCCAGCUUUGCCUUCCACCAUGAGUAAAAGCUUCCCAAGUCCUCCCCAGAAGCAGAUGCUGGCGCUAUGCUUCUGGUACAGCCUGAAAAACCUUGAGCCAAUUAAACCUCAGUGAGCUCAAGAUGUCUUUGUUGAAACAGAACCUCCCGAAGUUACAGUAUUGGUUUUGGGGCUCCACACAGAGAACACAUCACGGAAGCUAUAAUUGAGGAAGACAAAGCUGUCAGGACGACACCAAGAGAGUUAGAAAGCCCAAGAGUGGAGCAUUCUUCACCAUGAUUCCACCUGACACUUGGCUGAAAGCAUUUUGCACUAAUUUGCUUUGUGCCCGUUCAGACAAUCUAAAAAGAAAGGAUGGGGGGACAACAAGUGUCUAUUACACAGAAUAAAC